Molecule: ribosomal RNA, 453 nt
Filed under: Oodescelis punctatissima
Lineage: Eukaryota; Metazoa; Arthropoda; Insecta; Coleoptera; Tenebrionidae
Description: partial 28S ribosomal RNA
Source: RNAcentral
UUCAGGGGUAAACCUGAGAAACCCGAAAGGUCGAAAGGGGAGAUUCAGCGUGACUCGAUCGUAGCGCUGGACGGUCGUGCGACAGACGGCGUACGCGUUGUCCGCGCCUUCCGUUCUCCGAACUGCGGUCGAACGCGUGCACUUCUCCUCCUGUAGGACGUCGCGAUUCGUUGGGCGCCGGUCUAAGGCCCGAGGUGGAGUCCGUCAGGACGUUUCGGCGUUCCUGGCGAACCCUCGGUGUUUCCCGGUCGGCUCGCUCGACGAUAUACAGAUGGCGCGGGGCCGCUAUUCAGUUAGCGUUCGACCUUCGGCAAGCGCGUCCGUCGUGACGGUGAUCGGACCUGGUGCCGGUCCCGUCCCCGGACGGCUGUUCGCUGAGGUGUUCUCGAACAGACCUCGUUGAAACGCCGAUCUGCGACGCUAUAGCUUUGGGUACUUUCAGGACCCGUCUUG